CCGCGUGUAUGAAGAAGGCCUUCGGGUUGUAAAGUACUUUCAGCAGUGAGGAAGGUGGAGUCGUUAAUAGCGGCCUCAUUUGACGUUAGCUGCAGAAGAAGCACCGGCUAACUCCGUGCCAGCAGCCGCGGUAAUACGGAGGGUGCGAGCGUUAAUCGGAAUUACUGGGCGUAAAGCGCAUGCAGGUGGUUUGUUAAGUCAGAUGUGAAAGCCCGGGGCUCAACCUCGGAAUUGCAUUUGAAACUGGCAGACUAGAGUACUGUAGAGGGGGUAGAAUUUCAGGUGUAGCGGUGAAAAUGCGUAGAGAUCUGAAGGAAUACCGGUGGCGAAGGCGGCCCCCUGGACAGAUACUGACACUCAGAUGCGAAAAGCGUGGGGAGCAAACAGGAUUAGAUACCCUGGUAG
Molecule: ribosomal RNA, 405 nt
Filed under: uncultured bacterium
Lineage: Bacteria
Description: bacterial SSU rRNA
Rfam family: Bacterial small subunit ribosomal RNA
Source: RNAcentral